RNAcentral lists this ribosomal RNA (1150 nucleotides) under Salmonella enterica subsp. enterica serovar Ealing. Its description in RNAcentral is "partial 23S ribosomal RNA". It matches the Rfam family "Bacterial large subunit ribosomal RNA", at positions 532 to 1583 of the family's 2925-position model. The record is from RNAcentral. Lineage: Bacteria; Pseudomonadati; Pseudomonadota; Gammaproteobacteria; Enterobacterales; Enterobacteriaceae.
AGGGGAGUGAAAAAGAACCUGAAACCGUGUACGUACAAGCAGUGGGAGCCCCACCACUAAGCCAGUGGUGAACUCCACAUACGCAUCCUUUGCUGAGGAUACGGUUAACGGAGCGAAAGCGACGUUCAACCUCAAAAGAAGCAGAGGGGGCUUAGUGGUGGGGUGACUGCGUACCUUUUGUAUAAUGGGUCAGCGACUUAUAUUCUGUAGCAAGGUUAACCGAAUAGGGGAGCCGGAGGGAAACCGAGUCUUAAUUGGGCGUUAAGUUGCAGGGUAUAGACCCGAAACCCGGUGAUCUAGCCAUGGGCAGGUUGAAGGUUGGGUAACACUAACUGGAGGACCGAACCGACUAAUGUUGAAAAAUUAGCGGAUGACCUGUGGCUGGGGGUGAAAGGCCAAUCAAACCGGGAGAUAGCUGGUUCUCCCCGAAAGCUAUUUAGGUAGCGCCUCGUGAAUUCAUCUCCGGGGGUAGAGCACUGUUUCGGCUAGGGGGUCAUCCCGACUUACCAACCCGAUGCAAACUGCGAAUACCGGAGAAUGUUAUCACGGGAGACACACGGCGGGUGCUAACGUCCGUCGUGAAGAGGGAAACAACCCAGACCGCCAGCUAAGGUCCCAAAGUCAUGGUUAAGUGGGAAACGAUGUGGGAAGGCCCAGACAGCCAGGAUGUUGGCUUAGAAGCAGCCAUCAUUUAAAGAAAGCGUAAUAGCUCACUGGUCGAGUCGGCCUGCGCGGAAGAUGUAACGGGGCUAAACCAUGCACCGAAGCUGCGGCAGCGACACUGUGUGUUGUUGGGUAGGGGAGCGUUCUGUAAGCCGUUGAAGGUGUGUCGUGAGGCAUGCUGGAGGUAUCAGAAGUGCGAAUGCUGACAUAAGUAACGAUAAUGCGGGUGAAAAACCCGCACGCCGGAAGACCAAGGGUUCCUGUCCAACGUUAAUCGGGGCAGGGUGAGUCGACCCCUAAGGCGAGGCCGAAAGGCGUAGUCGAUGGGAAACGGGUUAAUAUUCCCGUACUUGGUGUUACUGCGAAGGGGGGACGGAGAAGGCUAUGUUGGCCGGGCGACGGUUGUCCCGGUUUAAGCGUGUAGGUGUGUGUUCCAGGUAAAUCCGGUUCACUUUAACACUGAGGCGUGAUGACGAGGCACUACGGU